UCUAUCCUACGUUUAGUUUGAUUGCAUACAGACCAAUUUGGAAUGUGAAAAGUAUAUUCAAAUAUAUUAAAAGGCUAUAGCACAUAAUGGAUUGUGUAGUAAAAUCGGCAACAACAAAAAAAGUAAAAUCGGCCUAGGCGCCUUGGUUUUUAUUUUUUAAUAAUAAUUGUUUUCCCGACUUCAAAAAAAACACGCUGCCUCCUCUGAGUCGUCGCCUCCUUCUCAUCACGAGUCAUGACAGACCACCACCACCAGGUCUCCACCUGCUAGGCCAUACCACAUAAUGGAUUGUGUAGUAAAAUCGGCAACAACAACAAAAAAAAAAAAAAAGUAAAAUCGGCCUAGGCGGGCACCUAGGCGGCCUGGUUUUUUUUUUAAAAAAAAUAAUAAUAAUUGUUUUCCCGACUUCAAAGAAAACACGCUGCCUCCUCUGAGUCGUCGCCGCCUUCUCAUAACGAGUCAUGACUCAUGACAGACCACCACCACCAGGUCUCCACCUGCUACCACCAACAGGCCCCGACCUGCGACUCCCGUAAAGAAUUUGGGCUGUCCUCUUCGGCCGAAACAAGUGCAUUUUCCGAAGACAUAUUAGCAAGAGUGCCCUGUAAAGAAUCUGGUUUGAAUCUAUAUCAGAAACAAGAGAGGGAAGCUGUUAUGUUGGUGAAGAAGCAGAAGACAUAUUCUCUCCUGGAUGACGAUGAUGGCGAUAGAUCUUCUGCCCAGGUUGUUUCUGAGUCCAGGAAAGCUGAUUCCAUAAGAAACGAUUCAGGAAGAAGGUCUUGACUUUUGAGUCAAGAAGAUGAAGAUGAUGAGGUGAUUGCACAAGAGGAAGAAGAGAGAUGAGUUAUCUCCCCAUAUGACGAUGAUGGUUCAGAGUCAGAAGAAGAAAGAUUGCGUGAGCAAAGAGAGGUAGCAAUUGGAGCAGAAUAUAAGGGAACGGGAUACAACAGCUACACUAAAGUUAACGGAGAGAAAAUUAAAACGAAAGGAAGAAGAUGAGGCUGUUCUGAGAAGCAAUGCAUUGGAGCGGAAUGACCUUGAAAAUUUAAGGUUUGUCAUGAAUUAAUUCAUUAUGAAGUUCUGUACUUUUCUGGCAGGCAAUUGAAAACUCCAAAUAGUUAAAAGAUCAGGCAAUCUGUUGUUGAAAGUUUUUUUACCAAUAACCAUUGUUGAAAGUUCUAGGCAA
Long non-coding RNA from Prunus persica (peach), 1186 nucleotides. RefSeq lists it as uncharacterized. The transcript is spliced from 6 exons. Lineage: Eukaryota; Viridiplantae; Streptophyta; Magnoliopsida; Rosales; Rosaceae. The record is from RefSeq and is a predicted model, not a curated record.